ACGGAAGGCAGCAGUGGGGGAUAUUGCACAAUGGGGGAAACCCUGAUGCAGCAACGCCGCGUGAGUGAAGAAGUGUUUCGGUAUGUAAAGCUCUAUCAGCAGGGAAGAUAAUGACGGUACCUGACUAAGAAGCUCCGGCUAAAUACGUGCCAGCAGCCGCGGUAAUACGUAUGGAGCAAGCGUUAUCCGGAUUUACUGGGUGUAAAGGGUGCGUAGGUGGCAUAGUAAGUCAGAUGUGAAAUACCGGGGCUCAACCCCGGAGCUGCAUUUGAAACUGCCAAGCUGGAGUACAGGAGAGGCAAGCGGAAUUCCUAGUGUAGCGGUGAAAUGCGUAGAUAUUGGGAGGAACACCAGUGGCGAAGGCGGCUUACUGGACGAGAACUGACGCUGAGACACGAAAGCGUGGGGAGCAAACAGGAUUAGAUACCCUGGUA
Molecule: ribosomal RNA, 434 nt
Filed under: uncultured Lachnospiraceae bacterium
Lineage: Bacteria; Bacillati; Bacillota; Clostridia; Lachnospirales; Lachnospiraceae
Description: partial 16S ribosomal RNA
Rfam family: Bacterial small subunit ribosomal RNA
Source: RNAcentral